Molecule: ribosomal RNA, 1364 nt
Filed under: Brenneria salicis
Lineage: Bacteria; Pseudomonadati; Pseudomonadota; Gammaproteobacteria; Enterobacterales; Pectobacteriaceae
Description: 16S ribosomal RNA
Rfam family: Bacterial small subunit ribosomal RNA
Source: RNAcentral
GAGCUUGCUCCUUGGGUGACGAGCGGCGGACGGGUGAGUAAAGUCUGGGGAUCUGCCUGAUGGAGGGGGAUAACUACUGGAAACGGUAGCUAAUACCGCAUGACGUCUUCGGACCAAAGUGGGGGACCUUCGGGCCUCACGCCAUGAGAUGAACCCAGAUGGGAUUAGCUGGUAGGUGAGGUAACGGCUCACCUAGGCGACGAUCCCUAGCUGGUCUGAGAGGAUGACCAGCCACACUGGAACUGAGACACGGUCCAGACUCCUACGGGAGGCAGCAGUGGGGAAUAUUGCACAAUGGGGGAAACCCUGAUGCAGCCAUGCCGCGUGUGUGAAGAAGGCCUUCGGGUUGUAAAGCACUUUCAGCGGGGAGGAAGGCAAUAAACUUAAUAAGUUUGUUGAUUGACGUUACCCGCAGAAGAAGCACCGGCUAACUCCGUGCCAGCAGCCGCGGUAAUACGGAGGGUGCAAGCGUUAAUCGGAAUGACUGGGCGUAAAGCGCACGCAGGCGGUCUGUUAAGUUGGAUGUGAAAUCCCCGGGCUCAACCCGGGAACAGCAUUCAAAACUGACAGGCUAGAGUCUCGUAGAGGGGGGUAGAAUUCCAGGUGUAGCGGUGAAAUGCGUAGAGAUCUGGAGGAAUACCGGUGGCGAAGGCGGCCCCCUGGACGAAGACUGACGCUCAGGUGCGAAAGCGUGGGGAGCAAACAGGAUUAGAUACCCUGGUAGUCCACGCCGUAAACGAUGUCGACUUGGAGGCUGUGGUCUUGAACCGUGGCUUCCGGAGCUAACGCGUUAAGUCGACCGCCUGGGGAGUACGGCCGCAAGGUUAAAACUCAAAUGAAUUGACGGGGGCCCGCACAAGCGGUGGAGCAUGUGGUUUAAUUCGAUGCAACGCGAAGAACCUUACCUACUCUUGACAUCCAGAGAAGACUGUAGAGAUACGGUUGUGCCUUCGGGAGCUCUGAGACAGGUGCUGCAUGGCUGUCGUCAGCUCGUGUUGUGAAAUGUUGGGUUAAGUCCCGCAACGAGCGCAACCCUUAUCCUUUGUUGCCAGCGAUACGGUCGGGAACUCAAAGGAGACUGCCGGUGAUAAACCGGAGGAAGGUGGGGAUGACGUCAAGUCAUCAUGGCCCUUACGAGUAGGGCUACACACGUGCUACAAUGGCGCAUACAAAGAGAAGCGAGCCUGCGAGGGUGAGCGGACCUCAUAAAGUGCGUCGUAGUCCGGAUUGGAGUCUGCAACUCGACUCCAUGAAGUCGGAAUCGCUAGUAAUCGUAGAUCAGAAUGCUACGGUGAAUACGUUCCCGGGCCUUGUACACACCGCCCGUCACACCAUGGGAGUGGGUUGCAAAAGAAGUAGGUAGC